This 465-nucleotide ribosomal RNA is filed under the name uncultured bacterium. RNAcentral describes it as "partial 16S ribosomal RNA". It matches the Rfam family "Bacterial small subunit ribosomal RNA", at positions 28 to 507 of the family's 1533-position model. The record is from RNAcentral.
GACGAACGCUGGCGGCGUGCUUAACACAUGCAAGUCGAACGGAAAGGCCCUGCUUGCCGGGUACUCGAGUGGCGAACGGGUGAGUAACACGUGGGUGAUCUGCCCUGCACUUCGGGAUAAGCUUGGGAAACUGGGUCUAAUACCGGAUAGGACCGCACUUUAGUGUGUGUGGUGGAAAGUUUUUUCGGUGUAGGAUGAGCUCGCGGCCUAUCAGCUUGUUGGUGGGGUAAUGGCCUACCAAGGCGGCGACGGGUAGCCGGCCUGAGAGGGUGUACGGCCACAUUGGGACUGAGAUACGGCCCAGACUCCUACGGGAGGCAGCAGUGGGGAAUAUUGCACAAUGGGCGCAAGCCUGAUGCAGCGACGCCGCGUGGGGGAUGAAGGCCUUCGGGUUGUAAACUCCUUUCGCUAGGGACGAAGCUUUUUGUGACGGUACCUAGAUAAGAAGCACCGGCUAACUACGUG